Long non-coding RNA from Gymnodraco acuticeps, 218 nucleotides. RefSeq lists it as uncharacterized. NCBI's taxonomy places the organism in Eukaryota, Metazoa, Chordata, Actinopteri, Perciformes, Bathydraconidae. The record is from RefSeq and is a predicted model, not a curated record. The transcript is spliced from 4 exons.
GUCUGACCAGACAUAGAGGGAACGAACAAGAGUGCUGCAAAUUGAAGCCGGAGGAAACGAAGUUGAUCGAAGUGGAAAAAGACGAUAUAUAAAAAGGUGUGGGACAUUCCAAAUGUUCCAAAAGUGAGCACUCCACGAAUGGACAACAGUUUGCAGGACCUCUCAGGCACCCACAACCAGCGUCUGAUCGGGAUGGAGCACCAACCCCAUUCCAGGAA